RNAcentral lists this ribosomal RNA (423 nucleotides) under uncultured bacterium. Its description in RNAcentral is "bacterial SSU rRNA". It matches the Rfam family "Bacterial small subunit ribosomal RNA", at positions 355 to 776 of the family's 1533-position model. The record is from RNAcentral.
UGAGGAAUAUUGGUCAAUGGUCGGGAGACUGAACCAGCCAAGCCGCGUGAGGGAGGAAGGUACAGAGUAUCGUAAACCUCUUUUGUCAGGGAACAAAGGCGGGGACGUGUCCCCGGAUGAGUGUACCUGAAGAAAAAGCAUCGGCUAACUCCGUGCCAGCAGCCGCGGUAAUACGGAGGAUGCGAGCGUUAUCCGGAUUUAUUGGGUUUAAAGGGUGCGCAGGCGGUCUGUUAAGUCAGCGGUCAAAGCCCGGGGCUCAACCCCGGCCCGCCGUUGAAACUGGCAGUCUCGAGUUGGAGAGAAGUAUGCGGAAUGCGCGGUGUAGCGGUGAAAUGCAUAGAUAUCGCGCAGAACUCCGAUUGCGAAGGCAGCAUGCCGGCUCCACACUGACGCUGGGGCACGAAAGCGUGGGUAUCGAACAGG